UCGGCUUAGAGUUUGAUCAUGGCUCAGAUUGAACGCUAGCGGAAUGCUUUACACAUGCAAGUCGAACGGCAGGAGAGCUUGCUCUCUGCGAGUGGCGAACGGGUGAGUAAUGUAUCGGAACAUACCCAGUAGCGGGGGAUAACUACUCGAAAGAGUGGCUAAUACCGCAUACGCCCUACGGGGGAAAGGGGUUAGUCUCACUAUUGGAGUGGCCGAUAUCGGAUUAGCUAGUUGGUGGGGUAAAGGCUCACCAAGGCGACGAUCCGUAGCUGGUUUGAGAGGACGACCAGCCACACUGGGACUGAGACACGGCCCAGACUCCUACGGGAGGCAGCAGUGGGGAAUUUUGGACAAUGGGCGCAAGCCUGAUCCAGCCAUUCCGCGUGUGUGAUGAAGGCCUUCGGGUUGUAAAGCACUUUUGUCAGGGAAGAAACAGCGAUGGUAAUCUGUCGUGAUGACGGUACCUGAAGAAUAAGCACCGGCUAACUACGUGCCAGCAGCCGCGGUAAUACGUAGGGUGCAAGCGUUAAUCGGAAUUACUGGGCGUAAAGCGUGCGCAGGCGGUUCGGAAAGAAAGAUGUGAAAUCCCAGAGCUCAACUUUGGAACUGCAUUUUUAACUACCGGACUAGAGUGUGUCAGAGGGGGGUGGAAUUCCGCGUGUAGCAGUGAAAUGCGUAGAGAUGU
This 685-nucleotide ribosomal RNA is filed under the name uncultured Alcaligenaceae bacterium. RNAcentral's name for it is "bacterial SSU rRNA". It matches the Rfam family "Bacterial small subunit ribosomal RNA", at positions 1 to 699 of the family's 1533-position model. Lineage: Bacteria; Pseudomonadati; Pseudomonadota; Betaproteobacteria; Burkholderiales; Alcaligenaceae. The record is from RNAcentral.